GCCUCACAGAGCCCAACACAUCAACACACCGCAUCCCUCUCGGAUCUACUGUAUCAUCAAUCAUCAGGUUACUCAAAUCCCUAUAUAAGAAUCUGACUUCGAAAAAUAGCCAACGCAAAAAGAAAAAUGAGCAACACGGCUUCUGAAGCUACCCAGCCCACCUGCCCUGAAAUGGGUCAAAUGGUGUGUGGGCGCUGCCGGCGUCUACUUUCUUAUCCACAAGGAGCCAAACAUGUCCAAUGCCUCCGCUGUAAGACGGUCAAUAUUGUAUUGGAUGCUAAUCAGGUUGGGCAUGUCAAGUGUGGGAGUUGUCUUGUGUUGCUGAUGUACCCAUAUGGAGCUCCAUCAGUCAGGUGUUCCUCCUGCCACUUUGUCACGGAAAUCGGAGUAAACAACCUAAGGCCCCCACUUUCUGCACAACAGGGCCAGCCGCCUCCACCUCAGCACCCUGUCCAUUAGAACAUAUUCUUCUAUUGGUGACUAGGCCAUGAUCCCGUGGUCGAUUGUGUGACUCAAUUUUGGGAUGAUUAAGAAUCCAACUCCAUUAGAAACAGUUCUGGAUGCCAAGCAAUGGGAUUUUUCUUGUACGGAACUGGAGGUGAUUUUUAAAUACAAGGACCCUUGUAGCUGCCGUGACUACAAAGCCCAAAAAGCAUGGCGACCAGCACCCUCUAGGUAGAUAGUUGGAAAAGUUGAGGAAACAUCAAGCUCAAUCCACACCAAGGUUUCAAGACUCAGCAACUUGAACCAACUAAUCCAGUCGAGCCAUGACUUGGCUGAAUUGAGACGACUCAACCCAGUCAGGCUCAAAUUGGAGUGCCAAACUGGUUUGAAUAGACCCAGCCCGAGCCACUCGCACCACAAGGGGUACUCGCGUGACCUCUUGUUGAAACUCCAGAGAGUCUACCAGUUAGACGAGUCAUCAAACAUUUGUAUGUAUCGCAUCUCCGAAUGGUGGGUCACAUCCAGUACAAUCUCUUUCUGUA
RNA transcript from Magnolia sinica, 986 nucleotides. It is a transcript of the gene named protein LOL2, with no coding region annotated. NCBI's taxonomy places the organism in Eukaryota, Viridiplantae, Streptophyta, Magnoliopsida, Magnoliales, Magnoliaceae. The record is from RefSeq and is a predicted model, not a curated record. The transcript has 5 exons.